This 250-nucleotide ribosomal RNA is filed under the name uncultured bacterium. RNAcentral's name for it is "partial 16S ribosomal RNA". It matches the Rfam family "Bacterial small subunit ribosomal RNA", at positions 524 to 773 of the family's 1533-position model. The record is from RNAcentral. RNAcentral also lists the same sequence under 1 other name.
UACGGAGGGGGCAAGCGUUGUUCGGAGUCACUGGGCGUAAAGAGCUCGUAGGCGGCAGUGUAAGUCGGGAGUUAAAGGCAACAGCUUAACUGUUGUAAGGCUUUUGAAACUACAUUGCUAGAGUACCAGAGAGGUAAGCGGAAUUUCCUGUGUAGCGGUGAAAUGCGUAGAUAUAGGAAGGAACACCGGUUGCGAAGGCGGCUUACUGGCUGGUAACUGACGCUGAGGAGCGAAAGCGUGGGUAGCAAAC